AUGCCAGUGGACCUCAGCAAGUGGUCCGGGCCUUUGAGCCUGCAGGAAGUGGACGAGCGGCUGCAGCACGCGCUGCAGGUCAAAUACAUCAGGACAGAGGUCGACAAGCUGGUCAAAGUGCUGACACCCACCCAAAUUAAGAACCGGCCUGCCAGUAUUGUGUGGGAUGGCCUUGUUCCAGGUAAACUCUACACCUUGGUCCUGACAGAUCUGGAUGCUCUCAGCAGGAAGGACCCCAAAUACAGGGAAUGGCACCAUUUUCUGGUGGUCAACAUGAAGGGCAACGACAUCAGCAGUGGCAGAGUCCUCUCCAAUUAUGUCAGCUCUGGGCCUCCAGAUAGAUCUGACACAGGCCUUCACCACUAUGUCUGGCUGGUUUAUGAACAGAAUGGGCCACUGAAGUGUGACGAGCCCAUCUUCAGCAACCGAUCUGGAGACCCCUGGGGCAAAUGCAAAGUGGCAUCUUUCCACAAGAAGUACGAGCUUGGGCCACCGGUGGCUGGUACGUGUUACCAGGCGGAAUGGGAUGACUAUGUGCCCAAACUCUAUGAGCAGCUGUCUGGGAAGUAGGGGAAUGCUAGGAGACAGAAACCGUCCUGGAAGUCUCAACCAGUGUUCUCCAGUUCAGUGAUGCAUGUAGA
This is a non-coding RNA of Leptonychotes weddellii (Weddell seal), 641 nucleotides long. NCBI's taxonomy places the organism in Eukaryota, Metazoa, Chordata, Mammalia, Carnivora, Phocidae. The record is from RefSeq and is a predicted model, not a curated record.